CCCACUUCUGGGUUUAACUAUGGUAUGUUAUCUAACUCGAGUUAUUUUUUGUGUUUUGUUGUAGUACAAGAUAUAAGGAAGAAAUGAGAAAAAAUAGCAUGAAAAGAAGAAGAGUUUGUGAAAAGAUUCAUAAGCCCAUAAACAAGCCUUGGGUAAUGCUAAGAGUCAUGCACAAUAAUAGAUUUAAAUUAAAACGUGUGUUUUUUAAAUUUGUAAAAAAAAUAUUAU
This 228-nucleotide long non-coding RNA is filed under the name Carica papaya (papaya). RNAcentral's name for it is "long non-coding RNA (CPAP_LNC015747)". Lineage: Eukaryota; Viridiplantae; Streptophyta; Magnoliopsida; Brassicales; Caricaceae. The record is from RNAcentral.